GAUGAACGCUGGCGGCGUGCCUAAUACAUGCAAGUCGAGCGAACAGACGAGGAGCUUGCUCCUCUGACGUUAGCGGCGGACGGGUGAGUAACACGUGGAUAACCUACCUAUAAGACUGGGAUAACUUCGGGAAACCGGAGCUAAUACCGGAUAAUAUAUUGAACCGCAUGGUUCAAUAGUGAAAGACGGUUUUGCUGUCACUUAUAGAUGGAUCCGCGCCGCAUUAGCUAGUUGGUAAGGUAACGGCUUACCAAGGCAACGAUGCGUAGCCGACCUGAGAGGGUGAUCGGCCACACUGGAGCUGAGACACGGUCCAGACUCCUACGGGAGGCAGCAGUAGGGAAUCUUCCGCAAUGGGCGAAAGCCUGACGGAGCAACGCCGCGUGAGUGAUGAAGGUCUUCGGAUCGUAAAACGCUGUUAUUAGGGAAGAACAAAUGUGUAAGUAACUAUGCACGUCUGGACGGUACCUAAUCAGAAAGCCACGGCUAACUACGU
This 496-nucleotide ribosomal RNA is filed under the name uncultured bacterium. RNAcentral describes it as "partial 16S ribosomal RNA". It matches the Rfam family "Bacterial small subunit ribosomal RNA", at positions 28 to 506 of the family's 1533-position model. The record is from RNAcentral.